This is a long non-coding RNA of Pogoniulus pusillus (Red-fronted tinkerbird), 2522 nucleotides long. RefSeq lists it as uncharacterized. The record is from RefSeq and is a predicted model, not a curated record. NCBI's taxonomy places the organism in Eukaryota, Metazoa, Chordata, Aves, Piciformes, Lybiidae. The transcript has 4 exons.
GUACGUCAAGCUGCGUUAAGAGUGAGAAGCAUCCAUUCCUUCGCAGGCCUCUCUUUGCAUUGUAAAUCACUUCGUUCUCACGAAAAUAGUCUUUAGCUUCUAUAAAGAUGUAAAAGUCAUCGGCAAUUUCCAGCGCGGUGUAAGGAGAAGAUGGAAAAAGGGGGAAUUUUAUUUUUUAAAUCCCAUUUCAGUAGAAAGUGCCAAGAUGAUUCGAGGACGCGAAUCCUGAUGCCUUUAGAUUAUGCACAGAGCUUUUUUAGCAAAUGGUGGCAGCUUGAUUGCAAACAUCUUGCGUACUUGUAUGUUUUAGGGGGGAAGAUCCUCGCUUUCUCGGGGCUCCUAGAGCUGGGGACAAGAAGAUGCAGUCUUGCCGGCUUGCUGCUUCCCCCCGUCUGAAAGAAGGAGAAAAGAGCCAUCAUUGGAGGGGUUUCAGUUCCAAAACGUGGACCAGCCCGGCAAGGUCAGAGGUCCUGGACCGCGGGAGACCAAGGUAAUGAUGAUGUCAUGAGAAAUCUCAAGUACACACAGCUAUUGCUAUGCAUGAGUGACCAGCAACCGGCCCGUCUCGCAGCCAGCAUCGCCUUCUCCUCCUCCUUCUCCUCCUCCUUCUCUCCCGGCUGCAGGGAGAUCCGCCCGCCGCCUUCACACUCCGCCUCGCCAGCGCAGACCGCUCCGAUAUCCGAACACUGGCAGAAAGAUCUCUCUAAGGACAGAUAAAAGCGUUUUCAGAACCGGGGAGGAUCAGCUUUUUGCCUGCAUUUCUCUUCUGGUAGCCUCAACUUGUGCAGAGGGAUGCGAGGAGGCACUUUGCUGUGGCUCAGAGCCGAGGCCUUGCUGUCUGAGAGGCCGGGAACCAGGGAGAAGAAAUGUAUGCUGACGUUACUUCAAGAACCGAUGGAGGUCUCCAGAUGGCUGUGACUUAAAGAAUAAAUACCCUGCAUGGAUUUCUCAAAAAUAAACAGUCUCUAUUUACUUAGAAGAGGAAUACUGAUGAUUCUCCAAUUGCUGUCAUCGGAGAUCCGUCCUUAUGGCAGCACCCCCACCUUCCACAGGGAAGACGCACAAACCUCUGAGAGGUACAUAAGAAGAGCACACCAUCAAAUAAAUCUCCUUGUCCUACUAAAUUAUGAUAGAAUUCGUGUGGAUGUAAAGAGUAGUACAACAGCACAACAGAGACCAGCUUUCUCUGCAGAGCAUCCCUUCCCUCUCAGCCAGUAGUCCCCCUAAACAGUGCCCUCCUGAACCGGGAUGAGCCGAGACGGGCCUGCCGCACCCUGCCUUGGCCGGAAGGCGAAGAGUGCCACGAGCAUCAUCACAGCUUUGCCAACAACCUCCUCGGCACAGAGGGAAGGAGAGUUGCGUGUUUAGACAGGGAUAAGUCUUGAGAAACCCGUGAAGUGGUGACUGCUUUCUACAAGUGACCCACUGCGUGGGGCAAGGGAUGGACUGAUUGCAGCCUCUUGCACCUCGGCCAGGAGCAAGAAGUGCCUUCGGCUCGGUUUUUGGAGGAGGGUUUUUUUUUGUUGGUUGGUGUUUUGAUUUGGUUUGGUUGUUAUUGGGUUGUUUGGUUGGGUUUUUUUGGUGAGUUUUUUUGGUUGGCUGUUUGGUUGGUUUGGGUUUUUUUAUCUUGAAUAUCUAAAGGCCACAAGAGUUUUCCCUGUGUUCCACCUCAAUGAGUGUUUGUCCCUCUUACUGCACACCUUCCGAGGGCACCCAGGCAUUGUCAAGGCUCCUCUCUAAGAAGCCACGGCUCUGCUUUCUUUGACACCCUGCCUGAUAAUUAACAUUUUCCACAGCUAACUACGGCCCACGACCAACAGUUUAACAUAAGACGCACAAAAUCGGCCUGGUAAGCCGCCGUGUCAAGUCAUAAAGCCUGUCUUGUUAACCAAAUUUCCCUCGCCUGGGGUCGAGUGGAAGCUUAGAGACUCGCCGGGGCCACAGACUCCAGAUGCCCGGGGAGAGGGGGCCCUAGGGUAGUCUCACAGUGCUCCAGAAAACCCUCAUCUCUCUGGGGCUCUGCAUCCCCUAUUUUGCAAGGAAAUCAAGAUCGGUCUAUCCCACUCCUCUCCUGCACACACACGCACUCCGCGGUACUUACAUUUUUCGCCUUUAUCAGAGCAAGAUUCGGCCCCAGAUCUAAGGGGUGAGCCGAGUCUCCUGUGGCAAACAAAGAUCCCCAAGGCUGGACCCCCUCGUAGCAGAGAAAGCUCUUUCAUGUUUUCAGAAAGUCCUGUAUUUCCCCUUGCCAUCCCUGUUUAAAAGUGCCGCUUAGCUCCACAGUGUCAUUCUUGUACCAAUGGCUCUGAGUUAGAAAUCAUCCAUCCGAGGAAAACGGGAAAGGAAUAGAAAGUUGGCUUGCGUUUGCCUUGGUUUGUUUUGGUUUCGGGGUUUGGGGCUUUUUUUUCAAUUUUUAGUUCUUCUCCCCUCCUCCUCCCCCUCCCCGCCUCGUCUCCCCCUCCCCUUUUGUUUCCAUGUCUCUUCCUACGCCCCGGAGUAAAAACUGAAGUGUUGCGUGUGAA